RNAcentral lists this transfer RNA (86 nucleotides) under bacterium. Its description in RNAcentral is "tRNA-Leu". It matches the Rfam family "tRNA". Rfam says of the family: Transfer RNA (tRNA) molecules are approximately 80 nucleotides in length. Their secondary structure includes four short double-helical elements and three loops (D, anti-codon, and T loops). The record is from RNAcentral.
GGCCCAGUGGUGGAACUGGUAUACACGCAGCACUUAAAAUGCUGUGCCUUUCAACUGGCAUGUGGGUUCGACUCCCACCUGGGCCA